GGAUCCUUAGCUCAGUUGGUAGAGCAACUGACUCUUAAUCAGUGGGUCGCAGGUUCGAAGCCUGCAGGGUCCA
Molecule: transfer RNA, 73 nt
Filed under: Candidatus Wallbacteria bacterium HGW-Wallbacteria-1
Lineage: Bacteria; Candidatus Walliibacteriota
Description: tRNA-Lys
Rfam family: tRNA
About the family: Transfer RNA (tRNA) molecules are approximately 80 nucleotides in length.
Source: RNAcentral